GAUUAUGGCUCAGGACGAACGCUGGCGGCAUGCCUAACACAUGCAAGUCGAACGGAGUAUCAGGGGCUUGCUCUUGAUACUUAGUGGCGAACGGGUGAGUAACGCGUGAGCAACCUGCCUUCAAAACCGGGAUAACACAGAGAAAUUUGUGCUAAUACCGGAUAAGACCACAGUGUCGCAUGACACAGUGGUAAAAAACUCAGGUGAUUGAAGAGGGGCUCGCGACCCAUUAGCUGGUUGGCGGGAUAACAGCCCACCAAGGCGACGAUGGGUAGCCGACUUGAGAGAGUGAUCGGCCACACUGGAACUGAGACACGGUCCAGACUCCUACGGGAGGCAGCAGUGGGGAAUAUUGGGCAAUGGAGGAAACUCUUUAACCCCAGCAAUGCCGCGUGAGUGAAGAAGGUCGUAAGAUUGUAAAGCUCUUUAAUUGGGGACGAAGACAGUGACGGUACCCAAAGAAUAAGCCCCGGCUAACUACGUGCCAGCAGCCGC
RNAcentral lists this ribosomal RNA (495 nucleotides) under uncultured bacterium. RNAcentral describes it as "bacterial SSU rRNA". It matches the Rfam family "Bacterial small subunit ribosomal RNA", at positions 15 to 518 of the family's 1533-position model. The record is from RNAcentral.